RNAcentral lists this long non-coding RNA (361 nucleotides) under Oryza sativa Indica Group (long-grained rice). RNAcentral's name for it is "lncRNA OsMH63_01G035640". Lineage: Eukaryota; Viridiplantae; Streptophyta; Magnoliopsida; Poales; Poaceae. The record is from RNAcentral.
AUGGACAAUGUUAGUUCCAAAUGUCUGAGUGCUGCUGAAGUAUCAUCUGAUGGCCCAUGCAAAACGCCUUUGCUGAAGAUAAUGAAAACUUGUGCAUUUACGAGUGCCUUGCGAUCUAAGCCUAGAGUGAACAAAAGUGCAUCUGUAAAAUGUGCUGCUGAUAUGGUAGAGAAUUCAUCUGAGUUCUCAAAUGGGUCAGGGCUGAGAUGCCUUCUUUUGGAGAAGCAAGAGGUGUUUAUGUACUUCGAUAAUGAUGCCUGCUCUAAGAAACUUCAUGGUUGGCCUGGAGCCCUCAUAGACAAUUGCAGAGGUCGCAAUAUCAAACUUGAUAUGGGUGUCCUGUGCAAUUAAUUGUGCAACC